This 1049-nucleotide ribosomal RNA is filed under the name Bacillus subtilis. Its description in RNAcentral is "bacterial SSU rRNA". It matches the Rfam family "Bacterial small subunit ribosomal RNA", at positions 42 to 1070 of the family's 1533-position model. The record is from RNAcentral. Lineage: Bacteria; Bacillati; Bacillota; Bacilli; Caryophanales; Bacillaceae.
GUGCGCGUGCUAUAAUGCAAGUCGAGCGGACAGAUGGGAGCUUGCUCCCUGAUGUUAGCGGCGGACGGGUGAGUAACACGUGGGUAACCUGCCUGUAAGACUGGGAUAACUCCGGGAAACCGGGGCUAAUACCGGAUGGUUGUUUGAACCGCAUGGUUCAAACAUAAAAGGUGGCUUCGGCUACCACUUACAGAUGGACCCGCGGCGCAUUAGCUAGUUGGUGAGGUAACGGCUCACCAAGGCAACGAUGCGUAGCCGACCUGAGAGGGUGAUCGGCCACACUGGGACUGAGACACGGCCCAGACUCCUACGGGAGGCAGCAGUAGGGAAUCUUCCGCAAUGGACGAAAGUCUGACGGAGCAACGCCGCGUGAGUGAUGAAGGUUUUCGGAUCGUAAAGCUCUGUUGUUAGGGAAGAACAAGUACCGUUCGAAUAGGGCGGUACCUUGACGGUACCUAACCAGAAAGCCACGGCUAACUACGUGCCAGCAGCCGCGGUAAUACGUAGGUGGCAAGCGUUGUCCGGAAUUAUUGGGCGUAAAGGGCUCGCAGGCGGUUUCUUAAGUCUGAUGUGAAAGCCCCCGGCUCAACCGGGGAGGGUCAUUGGAAACUGGGGAACUUGAGUGCAGAAGAGGAGAGUGGAAUUCCACGUGUAGCGGUGAAAUGCGUAGAGAAUGUGGAGGAACACCAGUGGCGAAGGCGACUCUCUGGUCUGUAACUGACGCUGAGGAGCGAAAGCGUGGGGAGCGAACAGGAUUAGAUACCCUGGUAGUCCACGCCGUAAACGAUGAGUGCUAAGGGGUUAGGGGGUUUCCGCCCCUUAGUGCUGCAGCUAACGCAUUAAGCACUCCGCCUGGGGGAGUACGGUCGCAAGACUGAAACUCAAAGGAAUUGACGGGGGCCCGCACAAGCGGUGGGAGCAUGUGGUUUAAUUCGAAGCAACGCGAAGAACCUUACCAGGUCUUGACUCCUCUGACAUCCUAAAGAUAGGACGUCCCCUUCGGGGCAGAAUGACAGGUGGUGCAUGGUUGCCUCACUCCGGGCCGGAGA